Molecule: long non-coding RNA, 228 nt
Organism: Paramacrobiotus metropolitanus
Lineage: Eukaryota; Metazoa; Tardigrada; Eutardigrada; Parachela; Macrobiotidae
Exons: 3
Source: RefSeq, a predicted model, not a curated record
CGGGGAGGAGGAUAAAAAAGAUGUGAAACUGACCACCGCGAAUAAAGUGACCAUUAUCGUGAUGGUGGCAUGUUUUGCCAUUUUAUUUGGUGUCGGGUAUUGUAUCUACAAGAAGCGUCGACAGCGGCAAGAGAGCCGUUUUCAUCCAGACGCUAUACCUCUGGAAACCGUAAAACUAAGAAACUGAUUGCGCAUUCAUCGUUAACAAGCGUUCACAACGGGAAGAGC